GACGAACGCUGGCGGCGUGCUUAACACAUGCAAGUCGAACGGAAAGGCCCUGCUUUUGUGGGGUGCUCGAGUGGCGAACGGGUGAGUAACACGUGAGUAACCUGCCCUUGACUUUGGGAUAACUUCAGGAAACUGGGGCUAAUACCGGAUAGGAGCUCCUGCUGCAUGGUGGGGGUUGGAAAGUUUCGGCGGUUGGGGAUGGACUCGCGGCUUAUCAGCUUGUUGGUGGGGUAGUGGCUUACCAAGGCUUUGACGGGUAGCCGGCCUGAGAGGGUGACCGGCCACAUGGGGACUGAGAUACGGCCCAGACUCCUACGGGAGGCAGCAGGGGGGAAUAUUGCACAAUGGGGGGACGCCUGAUGCAGCAACGCCGCGUGCGGGAUGACGGCCUUCGGGUUGUAAACCGCUUUCGCCUGUGACGAAGCGUGAGUGACGGUAAUGGGUAAAGAAGCACCGGCUAACUACGUG
Molecule: ribosomal RNA, 468 nt
Filed under: uncultured bacterium
Lineage: Bacteria
Description: partial 16S ribosomal RNA
Rfam family: Bacterial small subunit ribosomal RNA
Source: RNAcentral